UACGUAGGCAGCAAGCGUUGCUCGGAGUUACUGGGCGUAAAGGGUGCGUAGGCGGUUGUUUAAGUUUGGUGUGAAAUCUCCCGGCUCAACUGGGAGGGUGCGCCGAAUACUGAAUGACUAGAGUGCGGGAGAGGAGAGUGGAAUUCCUGGUGUAGCGGUGAAAUGCGUAGAUAUCAGGAGGAACACCGGUGGUGUAGACGGCUCUCUGGACCGUAACUGACGCUGAGGCACGAAAGCGUGGGUAGCAAACAGG
This 253-nucleotide ribosomal RNA is filed under the name uncultured bacterium. Its description in RNAcentral is "partial 16S ribosomal RNA". It matches the Rfam family "Bacterial small subunit ribosomal RNA", at positions 524 to 776 of the family's 1533-position model. The record is from RNAcentral.